ACGGGUGAGUAAUGCCUAGGAAUCUGCCUGGUAGUGGGGGACAACGUUUCGAAAGGAACGCUAAUACCGCAUACGUCCUACGGGAGAAAGCAGGGGACCUUCGGGCCUUGCGCUAUCAGAUGAGCCUAGGUCGGAUUAGCUGGUUGGUGAGGUAAUGGCUCACCAAGGCGACGAUCCGUAACUGGUCUGAGAGGAUGAUCAGUCACACUGGAACUGAGACACGGUCCAGACUCCUACGGGAGGCAGCAGUGGGGAAUAUUGGACAAUGGGCGAAAGCCUGAUCCAGCCAUGCCGCGUGUGUGAAGAAGGUCUUCGGAUUGUAAAGCACUUUAAGUUGGGAGGAAGGGUUGUAGAUUAAUACUCUGCAAUUUUGACGUUACCGACAGAAUAAGCACCGGCUAACUCUGUGCCAGCAGCCGCGGUAAUACAGAGGGUGCAAGCGUUAAUCGGAAUUACUGGGCGUAAAGCGCGCGUAGGUGGUUUGUUAAGUUGGAUGUGAAAUCCCCGGGCUCAACCUGGGAACUGCAUCCCAAAACUGGCAAGCUAGAGUAUGGUAGAGGGUGGGUGGAAUUUCCUGUGUAGCGG
This 585-nucleotide ribosomal RNA is filed under the name Pseudomonas sp. StFLB287. RNAcentral describes it as "bacterial SSU rRNA". It matches the Rfam family "Bacterial small subunit ribosomal RNA", at positions 102 to 681 of the family's 1533-position model. Lineage: Bacteria; Pseudomonadati; Pseudomonadota; Gammaproteobacteria; Pseudomonadales; Pseudomonadaceae. The record is from RNAcentral.